Molecule: ribosomal RNA, 253 nt
Filed under: uncultured bacterium
Lineage: Bacteria
Description: partial 16S ribosomal RNA
Rfam family: Bacterial small subunit ribosomal RNA
Source: RNAcentral
UACGGAGGGUGCGAGCGUUGUUCGGAAUUACUGGGCGUAAAGCGCGUGUAGGCGGCCUUCUAAGUCUGGUGUGAAAGCCCGGGGCUCAACCCCGGAAGUGCAUUGGAUACUGGGAGGCUGGAGUACCGGAGAGGAGGGUGGAAUUCCUGGUGUAGCGGUGAAAUGCGUAGAUAUCGGUCGGAACACCAGUGGCGAAGGCGGUCUCCUGGGGCAUUCUUGACGCUGAGGCGCGAAAGCUGGGGGAGCGAACGGG